This 206-nucleotide ribosomal RNA is filed under the name uncultured bacterium. Its description in RNAcentral is "partial 16S ribosomal RNA". It matches the Rfam family "Bacterial small subunit ribosomal RNA", at positions 568 to 774 of the family's 1533-position model. The record is from RNAcentral.
CGCGCAGGUGGUUUCUUAAGUCUGAUGUGAAAGCCCACGGCUCAACCGUGGAGGGUCAUUGGAAACUGGGAGACUUGAGUGCAGAAGAGGAUAGUGGAAUUCCAAGUGUAGCGGUGGAAUGCGUAGAGAUUUGGAGGAACACCAGUGGCGAAGGCGACUGUCUGGUCUGUAACUGACACUGAGGCGCGAAAGCGUGGGAGCAAACA